CUUUGGACAAUGGUAGGAGAGCGUUCUAAGGGCGUUGAAGCAUGAUCGUAAGGACAUGUGGAGCGCUUAGAAGUGAGAAUGCCGGUGUGAGUAGCGAAAGACGGGUGAGAAUCCCGUCCACCGAUUGACUAAGGUUUCCAGAGGAAGGCUCGUCCGCUCUGGGUUAGUCGGGUCCUAAGCUGAGGCCGACAGGCGUAGGCGAUGGAUAACAGGUUGAUAUUCCUGUACCACCUAUAAUCGUUUUAAUCGAUGGGGGGACGCAGUAGGAUAGGCGAAGCGUGCGAUUGGAUUGCACGUCUAAGCAGUAAGGCUGAGUAUUAGGCAAAUCCGGUACUCGUUAAGGCUGAGCUGUGAUGGGGAGAAGACAUUGUGUCUUCGAGUCGUUGAUUUCACACUGCCGAGAAAAGCCUCUAGAUAGAAAAUAGGUGCCCGUACCGCAAACCGACACAGGUAGUCAAGAUGAGAAUUCUAAGGUGAGCGAGCGAACUCUCGUUAAGGAACUCGGCAAAAUGACCCCGUAACUUCGGGAGAAGGGGUGCUCUUUAGGGUUAACGCCCAGAAGAGCCGCAGUGAAUAGGCCCAAGCGACUGUUUAUCAAAAACACAGGUCUCUGCUAAACCGUAAGGUGAUGUAUAGGGGCUGACGCCUGCCCGGUGCUGGAAGGUUAAGAGGAGUGGUUAGCUUCUGCGAAGCUACGAAUCGAAGCCCCAGUAAACGGCGGCCGUAACUAUAACGGUCCUAAGGUAGCGAAAUUCCUUGUCGGGUAAGUUCCGACCCGCACGAAAGGCGUAACGAUUUGGGCACUGUCUCAACGAGAGACUCG
This 823-nucleotide ribosomal RNA is filed under the name Staphylococcus aureus. RNAcentral describes it as "partial 23S ribosomal RNA". It matches the Rfam family "Bacterial large subunit ribosomal RNA", at positions 1216 to 2035 of the family's 2925-position model. The record is from RNAcentral. Lineage: Bacteria; Bacillati; Bacillota; Bacilli; Caryophanales; Staphylococcaceae.